RNAcentral lists this ribosomal RNA (465 nucleotides) under Vreelandella stevensii. RNAcentral's name for it is "partial 16S ribosomal RNA". It matches the Rfam family "Bacterial small subunit ribosomal RNA", at positions 338 to 795 of the family's 1533-position model. Lineage: Bacteria; Pseudomonadati; Pseudomonadota; Gammaproteobacteria; Oceanospirillales; Halomonadaceae. The record is from RNAcentral.
CCUACGGGAGGCUGCAGUGGGGAAUAUUGGACAAUGGGCGAAAGCCUGAUCCAGCCAUGCCGCGUGUGUGAAGAAGGCCUUCGGGUUGUAAAGCACUUUCAGUGGGGAAGAAAGCCUUGGGGCUAAUACCCUCGAGGAAGGACAUCACCCACAGAAGAAGCACCGGCUAACUCCGUGCCAGCAGCCGCGGUAAUACGGAGGGUGCGAGCGUUAAUCGGAAUUACUGGGCGUAAAGCGCGCGUAGGCGGUCUGAUAAGCCGGUUGUGAAAGCCCCGGGCUCAACCUGGGAACGGCAUCCGGAACUAUCAGGCUAGAGUGCAGGAGAGGAAGGUAGAAUUCCCGGUGUAGCGGUGAAAUGCGUAGAGAUCGGGAGGAAUACCAGUGGCGAAGGCGGCCUUCUGGACUGACACUGACGCUGAGGUGCGAAAGCGUGGGUAGCAAACAGGAUUAGAUACCCCUGUAGUC